Molecule: ribosomal RNA, 253 nt
Filed under: uncultured bacterium
Lineage: Bacteria
Description: partial 16S ribosomal RNA
Rfam family: Bacterial small subunit ribosomal RNA
Source: RNAcentral
UACGGAGGGUGCAAGCGUUAUCCGGAUUCACUGGGUUUAAAGGGUGCGUAGGUGGGCAGGUAAGUCAGUGGUGAAAUCUCUGGGCUCAACCCGGAAACUGCCGUUGAUACUAUUUGUCUUGAAUAGAGUGGAGGUGAGCGGAAUAUGUCAUGUAGCGGUGAAAUGCUUAGAUAUGACAUAGAACAUCGAUUGCGAAGGCAGCUCGCUACACUCUUAUUGACACUGAGGCACGAAAGCGUGGGGAUCAAACAGG